Molecule: small RNA, 91 nt
Filed under: Salmonella enterica
Lineage: Bacteria; Pseudomonadati; Pseudomonadota; Gammaproteobacteria; Enterobacterales; Enterobacteriaceae
Also listed under: 1 other name
Description: partial RtT sRNA
Rfam family: RtT RNA
About the family: This family represents a bacterial cis-regulatory element known as RtT RNA. The exact function of RtT is unknown although it is thought that it may be involved in changing the cellular response in relation to amino acid starvation.
Source: RNAcentral
UGUAUCUGAAGUCUGACGAGGAUGAGAACCUCCGGGGGCAAGAGGUUCGACUCGAGCGAAGCGAGAGAACGUUGCGUCAGCAACGGCCCGC